CAGUGUGUUAUUUUCUGUUUUAAUGACAGCAUGUGCCACCUGGCUUGUGUUGUAGUAGACUCAGUUUCUUUUCCCUUCUUUUUAAUAUUUAAAGUUUAUGAAGUCCAUAUCUGUCAGCAUUUACCUUUCUUUGGGUACUGACUGUAGAAGUUCAGUAAUGAGAAGUGGCUGAUACCUGGAGGAAAUUGAGGGAUAGAAACCCUGACGUGUCCUGUCCAUGUGCUACAAGCUCUUGAAGAAUGUGUCUGAAUAUGAGUCAGAAUGUGUAUGUAGAACAUCAAACAGAAGACGGUAUGCAGAGACUGAUGAGGCACUGGAGGAAGUUGCCCAGAGAGGUGAUGCCUCUGGAGACAUUCAAGGUCAAACUGGACGGAUUUUGAGCAACCUGAUCUAGCUGUAGGCCUCCCUUUUCAUUGCAGGGGAGUUGGUCUAGAUGACCUUUAAGGGCCCUUUCCAAUGCUAAGAAUUCUAUGAUUGUAAUUAAAAAUAUACUUUCAAUUUGCAUUAGUGAUAUAUUCACACAAGUUACAGAGAGCUUUUAGGAUAGACUUGACAUUAAAAUCUAAAAAAA
RNAcentral lists this long non-coding RNA (571 nucleotides) under Coturnix japonica (Japanese quail). RNAcentral describes it as "lncRNA (ENSCJPG00005004652.1)". The record is from RNAcentral. Lineage: Eukaryota; Metazoa; Chordata; Aves; Galliformes; Phasianidae.